This is a non-coding RNA of Paramuricea clavata, 128 nucleotides long. The record is from the annotation of a GenBank genome assembly. Lineage: Eukaryota; Metazoa; Cnidaria; Anthozoa; Malacalcyonacea; Plexauridae.
UUUAAAAGGAUCCAAUGGAUGCGAUGGAUCCAAAGGAUGCGAUGGAUAAAUAGAUAUCUAUCAGAUCCAUCAGAUCCUUUGGAUCCAUCAGAUCCUUUGGAUCCAUUGCAUCCAUUGGAUCCUUUUAA